UUUUGCGAACGCUGCUGUUCGUGAACCGAAUUGUUCGUGAACAGAAGCGUUCGUGAACCGAGGUACUGCUGUACAUUCUUAUCAGUUUUUCAGACCAGGUUGCCCCCAUUUUGUCUUCACAGGGCAUUUAUUCAGUAAUAGACUUAAUAUACUAUAGAGCUGGUGUGAACCGUAAAAGUAAAGCUUUCCGUUUUGAAGUUUUCACAUGUGAUCAAACAUGCAAUUUGUGAUAGCACCUAAAUUUUUACAGAGAUCAUUUUUCUAGAAGCUGGCCAUACAAUAAGCAGGAGAUUAUUAAGGAGGAGAUUACCUGGGCAAAAUUUGAAUGGCUAGAUCAGGAAGCUCAAUCAUUUUAGGCUGGUGGGUAUAAUUUGGAAUUUUGAAAACCACAGGUGCUGUUGAAAAUGGCAGGGUCUUGCUCAGUCACAAAAUGGCUAUCAGGUGGGAUGUUAUCAGUUACAGAACGUCUAUUGCUCAGAACUCUGUUGGCUCUCCUUCAGUAGAACACUCCCUGCUAUCCCUGCUUACCUUUGAACUUUUUCUAGACAGGUGAACCCAGUUUCAGAGAAAGAAAGAGGUUGCAGUCAACCAUCAUUUUUAUUUUCAAAGAAAGCUUAUGGGGCCCAUUUGGGACUUGGAAACAUUCUUGAAAAGAAAAGGUGUCUCACAGCACUGUCAGAUAACAAAGACUACUGCUGUUAUAGCUUUCAAAUUCCACAUUAUUAAAGCAAAAAAUCCAUGAAGUGUUGCUGUUAUGGACUUAAUGGGUCCUUUUGAUGCCACCAGCAAAAAUCAUGUAUGCCAUCCUACUGAUACAUGUCUUUAGUGAGAAGGCUGUGGUUUUGCCGUUACAUGAUCUUUCAGCAGCUGAAAUGGCAGCUGAAAUGACUAAGGCAAUUAUGAAGACAUUACUCUGUUAUGGACCACUUCAGAAAAUAGCUGUAGAUCAGGGAGAAGAACUUAUUCAUCAGAUAAGAUGGGUGCUUCCACUCUGAACAGGUUGGCCCCUGCAUUAAAGACUACAUCGCUAAUAAUGGCUGUGCAAUACUCAGAGAUGCUGCAGGCUCAAGACUGAAAUGACCCAUCAAAAUAUCUCAUAUUAAACCCUAUAUAAGAGGAACACAUAAUCAAACAAUCUCCACUGCUGUCAAGACUCCUCCUCCUGUUCCAGCAAGAUGACUCCAUCUUUCCUAUUUGUCACUAAGAUUCCGGCUGAAGAUGCUUUGAGAAAGUCUGGUGCUUUGAGACUGUCCAUAGUUCGAUAUUAACGGGGGUUUUUGGGACGGGGUGGGUAGGUUGGUCACUAUGUUGUGGCAGUAUCUUGCACAUCAUUAUUCACAUGGCAGCAAUAGUACCUUAUAUAAUCCAGUGAUGUUCACUUAUUUUGUUUUUGGCUAAAAGUAUGCAGAGUGGCCAAAUAAAACA
Non-coding RNA from Python bivittatus (Burmese python), 1425 nucleotides. Lineage: Eukaryota; Metazoa; Chordata; Lepidosauria; Squamata; Pythonidae. The record is from RefSeq and is a predicted model, not a curated record.